UCCUACGGACGCAGCAGUGGGGAAUAUUGCACAAUGGGGGAAACCCUGAUGCAGCGGCGCCGCGUGAAGGAAGAAGUAUUUCGGUAUGUAAACUUCUAUCAGCAGGGAAGAAAAUGACGGUACCUGACUAAGAAGCCCCGGCUAACUACGUGCCAGCAGCCGCGGUAAUACGUAGGGGGCAAGCGUUAUCCGGAUUUACUGGGUGUAAAGGGAGCGUAGGCGGCGAUGCAAGUCGGAAGUGAAAGCCCAGGGCUCAACCCUGGGACUGCUUUGGAAACUGUGGAGCUAGAGUGCUGGAGAGGUAA
This 305-nucleotide ribosomal RNA is filed under the name uncultured bacterium. RNAcentral describes it as "bacterial SSU rRNA". It matches the Rfam family "Bacterial small subunit ribosomal RNA", at positions 337 to 660 of the family's 1533-position model. The record is from RNAcentral.